This 253-nucleotide ribosomal RNA is filed under the name uncultured bacterium. RNAcentral's name for it is "partial 16S ribosomal RNA". It matches the Rfam family "Bacterial small subunit ribosomal RNA", at positions 524 to 776 of the family's 1533-position model. The record is from RNAcentral.
UACGUAGGGUGCGAGCGUUAAUCGGAAUUACUGGGCGUAAAGCGUGCGCAGGCGGUUUUGUUAGACAGAGGUGAAACCCCCGGGCUCAACCUGGGAACUGCCUUUGUGACUGCAUGACUAGAGUACGGCAGAGGGGGGUGGAAUUCCGCGUGUAGCAGUGAAAUGCGUAGAUAUGCGGAGGAACACCGAUGGCGAAGGAAAUCCCCUGGGCCUGUACUGACGCUCAUGCACGAAAGCGUGGGGAGCAAACAGG